GGUCGCUUGCCACCGGGUAAGCGACGGAAGUGUCUGACACACUCCGUUAGGUCUCAGAAGGAGUGCGCUCAGGCACUUUUUCGCUU
RNAcentral lists this non-coding RNA (86 nucleotides) under unclassified sequences. The record is from RNAcentral.